This 245-nucleotide long non-coding RNA is filed under the name Mytilus galloprovincialis (Mediterranean mussel). The record is from RNAcentral. Lineage: Eukaryota; Metazoa; Mollusca; Bivalvia; Mytilida; Mytilidae.
UUCAUGGAAAGAAAGACUUGAAGGUCCGUUGCGUGUUGCUUUAUGUUCACAAGGUUUCUCUGGCAUUCUGCUAUUUCUGUUUCCUUCUUUUCUAAUGAUGACAAUAACUGACAAAUUUUAGAGUUUUCUUUUUCUUCUUCCGCAUAGAGUUUUUUCAUUAAAUCCUCUUGUAGCUUGUCCAGAUGGUUGUUGAUCUUUGUUCUGAACGUCUUUAUUUCUGUUUCUAUACUCUUUCUACUUUCUUU